Molecule: long non-coding RNA, 6834 nt
Organism: Parus major (Great Tit)
Lineage: Eukaryota; Metazoa; Chordata; Aves; Passeriformes; Paridae
Exons: 3
Source: RefSeq, a predicted model, not a curated record
AAAAAUCAGCUAACAAUUCGUGUAGAAAGGACUGAUCAAUAUUUAAAUGACUCUCUUUAUUGAUUUAAAAUUAACUUUCAAUUAAGAGAUCCAUAGGACUCUUAACUGCGACACUUAUCCAUUCAAGAGAAAAUAAAGGUACAUUUAUCGAUACACUUAAACAGCAGUGGCUGGUUUCCUAUUGAUUCAGUCAUUUGCGCUGGGAUUCGUUAGCGUCAUCUGACUUUAACUCGCUUACCAGGUCCUCACAGUGUGCCAUGCUGGAAGAUGCAGGAAUGCACAAAACGAUACAGGGGAAGCAAACGGAAUUAGAUGUAUGCAGAGGUAACAGUUCUACUGGCUGGUAUCAACUCUGACAACAUCACCUAUUUGUGUGUAUUGAUUAACAUAUAAUCCAUAGGAAGCUUCAUAGCCCAGAACCGUCCAGUGAAAUGAAGCAGCCCCAAACUGACUCAUUUAUUACCUAUUCAUUUGUUGUGAUGAAACCUCCAGGAGCAAAAAAAAAAAUGCUGCAGUAUAGUAAUCUUUAAACAUUAAGACCUAUUCUGAUCAACUGAAAUUAUUCCUUAAACUGAGAACCACAAACAGAACGUAUAUAAAAUAUAACUUGCAUGUGUGAUCACCAGCAUUCUGUUUCAAAAAAUUAUUUUGCUAUGAAACAAGAUCAAAUUCUUUGAAGCCUGGGUGUGUUUUACAUUAUGUCAAGCUGCUGUUUCCAUUAUUUCUUCUUUGUCCACUAAAGGUUAACUCGUACUUACCAAAGGCUCAUUUGCAGAGUUAUGAUAUGAAUCAGUGAUAUCUUUAGGAUCAUAAUAAAACAGAAAACUGGUUUUGGACUUUUGCUGCUGGGUGAGAGUCAAGAUCAGAAAGACUAGUGUACAAAUGCAAAGCAAAUACCACCUCCUAAUAUUUCUAAAUCACAUAAUGUUAGUGUAACAUAAUUUGGAAUAUAUUAUGAUGGUUACAAUUACUAAAAAGUGCAUGAUGCCAUUAUUUCCAACUGGAAAUUAGAUGAUUAUACUAAUUAAGUGAUAGCAGGUGGCAGAAUGACUGCUACAAUCUUCUCUGAUGUGCAGAGAGAGAUGCACGGUUCACUGUCUAAAACACUCAGGAAUAGUAACAAUUGGCUUAACCAAUAUUCUGUCCCAAGAUGCAGAAUAAGGAUUCACUUUGAUUUAACACUUCCUUAUCACAUCAAAGAGGUGAAGGGACAUCUUUAUGGAUUGGCUUAGGAAAAAAAAAUGCUACCAGUUCAGCUUCCACCCUUGCAUCUAACAUUUCUUGGUAUAACAGAAUUAAAGUAUGAAAUGAAUUCCAAGAGAAUCAUGUAAUUCUAAAAUGUCAGCAACCUUCCUUUAAAUUGCAACUGGCCUAAAUUCAUCAUUACUGCUUUUAAGUUCCUCGAUUCGGAAUUGCUAUAGAUGUGCUAUUGAGUCUCGUAAGUCAAGCAAACUGGAAAUGCUGUAGUAAAAUGAAUAUUUCUCUGUCAAUAAAAGCACUAAAUACUUUCAAGAAUAUAUGUGGUCAUUAAAUACAUUUGAGUUUUAACUCAAAUUUACUAAGCAGUAUUUGCACAUUAUUUUUACUGCAGGAUUUGAAGAUUAUUCACAAUUUCACUGAGUUAGAAAAAUAAUCCUCCAGUCCUGUGAGUUAUUUCAGAUGUUGUUUUUCUUGUCCUCUCUGCUGUGUUCAGACUGAAGUAAGGCUAAGCCAUCAUCCACAAUUAGUUUUCCAGAUAAUUCAUCAUUAGUUUAAAAACUAUGAGAUAUGUUUAAGAAGCUACUCUCUUUUAUUUGGACUUCCAUGUGCUCCUGGACUGUGACCUCAGUUUAAGGAUGGCAGGGGAGCAAAUAUGCUGAAGAAAAACCACGCUGUGCAAGAAUGCAACCACCAUAUGCCUAAGAGGCAAAAGAAGUGAUUCUUAUAAAUGAUGAAAAAUAAAUGUUAUCUAAUUUCUGAAAACAUCUUAUCUAGUUUCAUCUGUCUCUGUAGCAUUCAUUUUAGUUUUGUUACUGUAUUUCAUACUACAGAUCAAAAGCAUGGCUGAUAAGACUUAAGUUUAGAUAUAUUUGUAACAUGCUAUGAUAUCUUACAGCAUAGCUGGUUCGUUCAAACAAUUACUGCCUUUUCCCUCUACAUCUUGCAAAGCCUUACCGGUGGCACAAUUUAAAGAAACAUUUUUGCUAUCUGACUUUCCACAGGUGAACACAAGAGAAAGCUGGAUCAGAGAGCAGAAGGUGAAAAACUAUUGUUUUGUUUGUUAUAUAACAUAUUUGUUAUGUCGAGCAUUACAUUGUGGUGCUAUUCUCUUCUCAGUGAUGACACGUGCAAAUUAAGCUACCCUACUCUUCUUCUAAAACUCACAUAGUUGUAUGUGCUAUGACAACCACAAAUACUGUGCAGAGUAUGUCUUUAGCAAGGACAAAAAAGAAAGUUUUUCCAACUUGGAAGCCUAAACCAACCUUUUUUUUCAGAGUGAAACUUGAAAGCUUGUGAAAAUGGAAGGAAACAAAACUUCUGAUUACAAAAAAUGCCUUAUCUCCUCCAUGAAUGCCAAACUGCUCUACAUUUAGAAUGCUAUCACACAGACGUUGCAUCUUUUCCAGGAAAAAAAUUGAGCUAAUUUCCUGCAAUGAGCAUGAAAAAUAUCUCCCUCUCUGUGGCUAAAAUAAAAAACUUUACUGCUGCACCCCUGGAUAUUCAAUUACCUGUGCAAAUGGGAAUAAUGGUAGACAGUUACUCAGAGGCAGCUACUGGAGAAAUUUUAACUUGUUGUUCAACUAAAGAAAAUAACAUCAUCAUACUAUAGGCGUGAGGCCAGGUCUCUUACCUUCACAUGUCACUGAUUAGUUCAGCCUUUGCUGAACAAAAAUCCUUAAUCUUCUCUUUUUAAUAUUGAAGAGGCAAACCCUCUUUCACCUGCAUGUGGAGUUUCCUUUUCAUCAAAGCUCAGGAGAUUCCAGAAACAAAAUCAAUGUAUGCAUGUUCGGAGCAGUUUUCAGGGUUUUGUAAGACAAAUCUUUCAAAUGGGAGCUAGUUUAAUGCUAUUGAGCUGAGUUUCGAUCUGACAGAGUGAGUGAACAACACAGAAACAGUUCACUUACCACUGCUCACACUACAGGAGGUGGGAAUCAGGUACAGUUCUGUACAAAUACAGCUGUGCAAUUUCUCAGUAAACUCUUACCCUACCUAAUCCAAUGUUAAAUGCAACCAUACAGGGUUUAAACAAACAAAGACUUAAGAAAGAAAUGCAAUUUAUUCCUCUGCAGUAAUGAGUGACAAUUAUGGUUUUCUCAAACAACAUACAAACUAGUGAAAAUUAUGACUAGCUCUGCUAAAUUUAAUAGCUAAGCUGGUUUUAUCUAUACCAUAUAUCUACUGCUAAGCUGGUUUUAACUGGAGCAUUUUCAGAUUCUGUGUCCUAACAGAAAACUGUAUCUGAACUAUGAUCUACAAAUAUCCUGUUCUGCAUUUCCCUCUGUUUUAAAACUUCCAACAACUUGCAUUCUGGAUUCUUUCUGAAGAAAAAAAAAACAUUUAAAAGAGACUCAAUUUUAUUGCCAGGCAUUUUAGGUUAAUAUGAGUUGUAGCACAGCUUUGCACAGACAGAUUCUUUUGUUCCUAUGCUCUGAUUCUUUGAAUGCCAAUACUUCAAUCAGCUUAGAAGCAGAGACAAUUCAUUCCUCUUCUGAGAAAAUGGUAUUAUAGCCACAUGUCCAUAUCACUAGUACAUCAUGACAGUCUCCACGAUCAUACAUCUGAUUAGAAAAACGAUCACUAGUCAUUUCUUGAGCUAUUCAGUAUCUGGCACAAUAGAGUAUAUGCUUCCUCUGUACUAUUUAGAUUCCUUCACUUUAAUAAACAAACUAAUGAGACCUUUAAAAAUGCUUAAACAUACAACCAGGGUGGCAAAGUGUGAACUGAAAUGAAUCAAACAAAAAACCCCAAUAUUUAAGUAUGUCUGUUACUGUGGCAACAUGCCCACACUGGCUUUGGACAAUUCCAGGUUUAUCAAAGGGACAAUAUUCUACUAAGACAACUGGGGACUAAAAGGAAUAGCGUUUGCAACCCAUUUAGUUCAAAUACAAAAUUCCAGGCCUUCAAAAAUACAAACAUCAGCUUCUCCUGCCAUUAUUCAGUUCAAACCCAUAGCUCUAAGUUAACAAGAAAUGUGAUUGUUGUGUUAACCCUGUGUUAGUCCUAAAUGUUCCUCCUUUCAUAAUGUGCAGGUGAGGUAAUGAAGUUCUCUUCAAAAGGGACAAUUAGUACUGUUCCUUCUGGUGUGCUUAAAUAUCUGCAGAAUUUUGGCUGAUGUACAUAAUACACUUUUGUAAUCCAUACAGAAAUACUAGAUGGAAAAACAUAGCAAUGCAUGUUUCACACACUGUACAAUAUGAGCAAGUUAGUAUAAAUUUUAAGAGUGAGAAAAAUCAGGACCCAGGGUAGGUUCCUCAUAUUAGCAAAAUUCCAGCAGGCUAGCCAUCUUCCUUACAUAAAAAAAUGUCUAUUAUCCGGUGUAAUUGAAUAACUCUCUGAUAAUUACAUCAGCAUUUUAAUAGUAUAUAAAUAACCUCUCCCCUAAUUACCAUUUUGUUCAAUUUUUCAUAUAUUGCAGUGCUAUGAAAGGAGGUUCUUGGUAAAGUACUUUACCCUUUCAACAACAAUUAAUAAUUCAAUUAACAGGUCUUUUUUUAAAAACAAAAGCUUAUGGAGAAAGAGCAAGGAGGUCCACAGUUGAAAGGAGAGCUCUCUGUUAUGCUAUAAUCAUGGCUUCAUGGCUGUACUAGUAGAAAAUUUGUUCAUGGCUUAUUUCUCUUUCUGUGCAGCCCCUCAAUAGAAAUGACACCUGCUUUUUGGUGCUGUGAAUAAAAUCCUGUUCAUAUGACUGAAAAUACAAGUGCACCUGUGUAGUUUGGAAAUUAAAAAUAGGCACAUCCCCAUGCCAGUUUAUUUUUCACACGUGAACUUGUAUAUUUGUUUUUAAAAGAACCCACAGAGACAGUAACGUCACUGAAGUCUUGACAUUAUGAAUUAGAGGGGAAAUACAUUGUCAAAAGCAGAAACCGAAUUUUCUCCCACCAAACAUUUAGACAGUCACACUUUCCUUUUCCCUAGUGUCAGGGAAGGAAAGUGAAAUGCACGGCUCAGAAAAGCACUGUUGAACAGAAGAUGCAGUCCUCACUCAAGCAUAGCCUGAGUGAGAAGCCAAGCAUCUGAAAAGCUUUGAAUCACGGGUGACCCUGUAGCAAAACAAAAUUGUGUUAAAUGAACGGCUGACAAUCACAACUGUGGUUCACAUAGCAGUAAUAUUCAGAGGCUAUAAUAAGGUCUGCAACAUUAAUGUUUUCAGACUUUAUAAUCAGUGUCAUAUUUUGCUAAUUUCCAGGCAUUUUAUUUACCUCAUGACAGAGAAUGCCCCAGUUAAACUUACAUCUACUGUCAGAAUUUCAAAAUGUCAUCUCAAGUUUUACAGAAACCUCAUUCUUUUCAGAAGUAAUUAGUUAAGGCAUAGUUUGCAUGGCAAUUAAAAACCACUUGCUUGCAGAAGCUUGUAAGCAUUAUGUAAUUUUUUUAAACUACAAGUACACAUGCAUAUUCUUGCCUCCAGCUUAAAUACAGUGAAUGUUGUAGUUGGUUGCACAGGAAUUGUCUCAAGAACAUAAAAGCAAGCCAAACACGAUUGUAUUCCAACUAAAAUUGCUCUCUUUAUACCGUGUAUUGAAACUUGAUAACUGUUGGUUAUAAAAUUCCUUUGAUUUUCUGUAGGUAAUAAAAUACUUUGGCAAUUACUAUUGACAGUUCUGGAUAAUCUUGAAGGCUGCCUUGCCUGAAGAAGAUGAGUGUUACAAAUCACUCCACUGAAAGAGGGAAGAACAGCAGCAGGCAGCAGACAGGUUUCAAUUUCACAAUGCUGAUUAUCUCAUUCGUGAUUCUAUGCAUGCCUAAAUCUGAGGAUCCCUCAAGCAGCUAUAUGGACUUCUACUUUUAAAAUGCCUAUUACGCUUUCAUACUUUUUGCUGCUUCCUGAAGAGUGCCAUUUCGCCAAGCUUAAAUAGCAGAAAAUUGCACUGCUUUUCCUCUGCCCAUCUCCUCAAUCUCUAUUAACCUGCACAAGAACAAAGGAGUAUGAUAGUCCAGCUAUAGGUUGGGAAAUAGGUUUGAAGUUGUUUUUCAUUUACUGGUACCUAUCUUCCUGAUUCAUAAAUGUAUUUGAACAAUAACAUUAUUUUAAUACAUUACCUAAUGACUGAAAGCAUAGCCUUUAAUUACAUCUCUAUUUAUACUAAUAAAUAUGCUCUGUGUUCAGAAAUACAUGCAGCUAUUGUUUACACGGGCAUCAAAUGAUACCGUAGUGCUGUCAGCAUGUGUCAAGGCUUAAACAGAAAGGAAUAAAAAAGAAAAUAAUGAAAAAUGCUGAGGGUUUUUGUUACUUUUUUUUUGUGUUUUUUUUUUCUUUCUUUCUUUCCUAUCUAGGCUACAAGAGAACAAACAGAAGCAGCUACAAGCAGACUGGAAAAUUGUUGAAGCACCUGGUUCUAAUGCUUGCAGUAGGCCUUUAUUAGAUGUCAUAAACUGAAUGAUGCAUUACUCUGUGGACAACUUAUAGCCUGCAAAUGUUGAGGUAAAAUGGAGGACAAAGAAUUCUUUUAAAACAAAGAGGUUAAACAUUCCUUUUUAAUCAAACAACACUUAUUAGAUGGAGGAAUCAUAAUAGGCUCACAGAGAUCGGAGACUAUUUGUGUUACUUUUUAAUGUAUUUCUGUAUCGCUUUAAUAAAUAAAAAGUAUUUUACUUUAAUAAUUCACAUUUUAUGUAUGAGUGAUUUACAGUCGA